This 433-nucleotide ribosomal RNA is filed under the name uncultured bacterium. RNAcentral describes it as "partial 16S ribosomal RNA". It matches the Rfam family "Bacterial small subunit ribosomal RNA", at positions 29 to 507 of the family's 1533-position model. The record is from RNAcentral.
AGCGAACGCUGGCGGCAGGCUUAACACAUGCAAGUCGAGCGGGCACUUCGGUGUCAGCGGCAGACGGGUGAGUAACACGUGGGAACGUACCCUUCGGUUCGGAAUAACGCUGGGAAACUAGCGCUAAUACCGGAUACGCCCUUUUGGGGAAAGGUUUACUGCCGAAGGAUCGGCCCGCGUCUGAUUAGCUAGUUGGUGGGGUAAUGGCCUACCGAGGCGACGAUCAGUAGCUGGUCUGAGAGGAUGAUCAGCCACACUGGGACUGAGACACGGCCCAGACUCCUACGGGAGGCAGCAGUGGGGAAUAUUGGACAAUGGGCGCAAGCCUGAUCCAGCCAUGCCGCGUGAGUGAUGAAGGCCUUAGGGUUGUAAAGCUCUUUUGUCCGGGACGAUAAUGACGGUACCGGAAGAAUAAGCCCCGGCUAACUUCGUG